Molecule: ribosomal RNA, 705 nt
Filed under: Pucciniastrum agrimoniae
Lineage: Eukaryota; Fungi; Basidiomycota; Pucciniomycetes; Pucciniales; Pucciniastraceae
Description: eukaryotic LSU rRNA
Rfam family: 5.8S ribosomal RNA (bases 274-427)
Source: RNAcentral
UUUCCGUAGGUGAACCUGCGGAAGGAUCAUUAUUAAAAAGUAAAGGAGUGCACUUUAUUGUGGCUCUGAACCUUUUAAAUAUAUUUAACCCAUUAAAACCCAAAGCUGUUAUGUGUGCCUUUUUUGGUAUAGCAUCUCAGCAGUAGUUCAACUUGUGUUGUCUUUUCACAUAAGCUCUGACAUUACCCCCCUUUAUAAGUGACCCCCUUUUUGUUAAUUUGAUGAACUCUUUAAAAAUGUUUUAAGAAUGUAAACCCCUAUAAAAAUUAAUAUAACUUUUAACAAUGGAUCUCUUGGCUCUCACAUCGAUGAAGAACACAGUGAAAUGUGGUAAGUAAUGUGAAUUGCAGAAUUCAGUGAAUCAUCGAAUCUUUGAACGCACCUUGCACCUUUUGGUAUUCCAAAAGGUACACCUGUUUGAGUGUCAUGAAACCCUCUCAUUCCAAUUCUUUAUUUUAUAUAAGGAGUUGUGUAAUGGAUGUUGAGUGUUGCUGUCAUUGGCUCACUUUAAAUAUAUAAGUAAUUUUAUUUGAAAAAAUAAAUGGAGCAAUACUUGGUGUAAUAUUUAUUAUUCAUUGAGGAGUGUGGUUUAAUUACUACAGCCAUUUGUUUCGGAUAAAUAGCUUCCUAACCCCAUUUUUCAAAUUUAGACCUCAAAUCAGGUGGGACUACCCGCUGAACUUAAGCAUAUCAAUAAGCGGAGGA